This 116-nucleotide ribosomal RNA is filed under the name Lepisosteus oculatus (spotted gar). Lineage: Eukaryota; Metazoa; Chordata; Actinopteri; Semionotiformes; Lepisosteidae. The record is from RNAcentral.
GCAAGCAGCCAUAUCACCCCACAGCUCUCACCUGGCUACCCACUGAAGCUAAGCUGGGUUGAGCCUGGUCAGUACCUGGAUGGGAGACUCCUGGGAAGCUAUGGCUGCUGCUGGAA